Molecule: ribosomal RNA, 544 nt
Filed under: Bacillus sp. (in: firmicutes)
Lineage: Bacteria; Bacillati; Bacillota; Bacilli; Caryophanales; Bacillaceae
Description: bacterial SSU rRNA
Rfam family: Bacterial small subunit ribosomal RNA
Source: RNAcentral
ANACNUGCAGUCGAGCGAAUGGAUUAAGAGCUUGCUCUUAUGAAGUUAGCGGCGGACGGGUGAGUAACACGUGGGUAACCUACCCAUAAGACUGGGAUAACUCCGGGAAACCGGGGCUAAUACCGGAUAAUAUUUUGAACUGCAUAGUUCGAAAUUGAAAGGCGGCUUCGGCUGUCACUUAUGGAUGGACCCGCGUCGCAUUAGCUAGUUGGUGAGGUAACGGCUCACCAAGGCAACGAUGCGUAGCCGACNNGAGAGGGUGAUCGGCCACACAGGGACUGAGACACGGCCCAGACACNUACGGGAGGCAGCAGUAGGGAAUCUUCCGCAAUGGACGAAAGUCUGACGGAGCAACGCCGCGUGAGUGAUGAAGGCUUUCGGGUCGUAAAACUCUGUUGUUAGGGAAGAACAAGUGCUAGUUGAAUAAGCUGGCACCUUGACGGUACCUAACCAGAAAGCCACGGCUAACUACGUGCCAGCAGCCGCGGUAAUACGUAGGUGGCAAGCGUUAUCCGGAAUUAUUGGGCGUAAAGCGCGCGCAGGG